GAUGAAGAACGUAGCGAAAUGCGAUAAGUAGUGUGAAUUGCAGAAUUCAGUGAAUCAUCGAAUCUUUGAACGCACAUUGCGCCCCUUGGUAUUCCAUGGGGCAUGCCUGUUCGAGCGUCAUUUGUACCUUCAAGCUUUGCUUGGUGUUGGGUGUUUGUCUCGCCUUUGCGUGUAGACUCGCCUUAAAAUAAUUGGCAGCCGGCGUAUUGAUUUCGGAGCGCAGUACAUCUCGCGCUUUGCACUCAUAACGACAGCGUCCAAAAGUACAUUUUACACUCUUGACCUCGGAUCAGGUAGGGAUACCCGCUGAACUUAAGCAUAUCAAUAAGCGGACGA
This 336-nucleotide unclassified non-coding RNA is filed under the name soil metagenome. Its description in RNAcentral is "partial contains 5.8S ribosomal RNA, internal transcribed spacer 2, and large subunit ribosomal RNA". The stretch from base 1 to 120 matches the Rfam family "5.8S ribosomal RNA", at positions 35 to 154 of the family's 154-position model. The record is from RNAcentral.